Molecule: ribosomal RNA, 541 nt
Filed under: uncultured bacterium
Lineage: Bacteria
Description: partial 16S ribosomal RNA
Rfam family: Bacterial small subunit ribosomal RNA
Source: RNAcentral
UGGGGAAUUUUGGACAAUGGGGGAAACCCUGAUCCCAGCCAUCCCGCGUGUGCGAUGAAGGCCUUCGGGUUGUAAAGCACUUUUGGCAGGAAAGAAACGUCGCGGGUUAAUACCCCGCGAAACUGACGGUACCUGCAGAAUAAGCACCGGCUAACUACGUGCCAGCAGCCGCGGUAAUACGUAGGGUGCAAGCGUUAAUCGGAAUUACUGGGCGUAAAGCGUGCGCAGGCGGUUCGGAAAGAAAGAUGUGAAAUCCCAGAGCUUAACUUUGGAACUGCAUUUUUAACUACCGGGCUAGAGUGUGUCAGAGGGAGGCGGAAUUCCGCGUGUAGCAGUGAAAUGCGUAGAUAUGCGGAGGAACACCGAUGGCGAAGGCAGCCUCCUGGGAUAACACUGACGCUCAUGCACGAAAGCGUGGGGAGCAAACAGGAUUAGAUACCCUGGUAGUCCACGCCCUAAACGAUGUCAACUAGCUGUUGGGGCCUUCGGGCCUUGGUAGGCGCAGCUAACGCGUGAAGUUGACCGCCUGGGGAGUACGGUC